Sorex fumeus (smoky shrew) is the source of this 212-nucleotide small nucleolar RNA. RefSeq annotates it as small nucleolar RNA U3. Lineage: Eukaryota; Metazoa; Chordata; Mammalia; Eulipotyphla; Soricidae. The record is from RefSeq and is a predicted model, not a curated record. The transcript has a single exon.
CAGCCCAGUACUUUCAGGGAUCAUUUCUACAGUUCAUUACUAGAAGUUUCUCUAAUCUUGUAGCGCACCCGAAACCACAAGGAGGAGCCAGAGCAUCCUCUCCUGAGGAUGAAGACUGUUCUAGGUCUGUUGCAGCUGCCUUUUACCACUGAUGGUUGUGUCUCACUAGGUUAAAAUCAUGAAUUUAUUAAGGCUGCACUUCAUUUUGUAGA